GUGUCAGCCGCCGCGGUAAAACGUAGGACGCAAGCGUUAUCCGGAGUUACUGGGCGUAAAGGGCGUGUAGGCGGCACUUCAAGUGGCUCGUGAAAGACUUCGGCUCAACCGGGGGUGGACGGGUCAGACUGAGGAGCUGGAGGAUGUCAGAAGGACACGGAAUUCCGGGUGUAGUGGUGAAAUGCGUAGAGAUCCGGAGGAACACCAGUGGCGCAGGCGGUGUCCUGGGGCGUACCUGACGCUGAGACGCGAAAGCAUGGGGAGCGAACGGGAUUAGAUACCCGCGUAGUCC
This 292-nucleotide ribosomal RNA is filed under the name uncultured bacterium. RNAcentral describes it as "partial 16S ribosomal RNA". It matches the Rfam family "Bacterial small subunit ribosomal RNA", at positions 505 to 796 of the family's 1533-position model. The record is from RNAcentral.